CCUACGGGGGGCAGCAGUGAGGAAUAUUGGUCAAUGGGCGGGAGCCUGAACCAGCCAAGUCGCGUGAGGGACGACGGUCCUAUGGAUUGUAAACCUCUUUUGUCGGGGAACAAAGGCGCCCACGGGUGGGCGGAUGAGUGUACCCGAAGAAAAAGCAUCGGCUAACUCCGUGCUAGCAGCCGCGGUAAUACGGAAGGUCCGGGCGUUAUCCGGAUUUAUUGGGUUUAAAGGGAGCGUAGGCCGGAUGGCAAGCGUGCUGUGAAAUGUCCGGGCUCAACCCGGGCCUUGCAGGGGGGACUGGCGUGCUUGAGUCAGCGGGAGGCAGGCGGAAUUCGACGUGUAGCGGUGAAAUGCUUAGAUAUGACGAAGAACCCCGAUUGCGAAGGCAGCUUGCUGGAGCGGAACUGACGCUGAUGCUCGAAAGCGCGGGUAUCGAACAGGAUUAGAUACCCCAGUAGUC
RNAcentral lists this ribosomal RNA (460 nucleotides) under uncultured bacterium. RNAcentral describes it as "partial 16S ribosomal RNA". It matches the Rfam family "Bacterial small subunit ribosomal RNA", at positions 338 to 795 of the family's 1533-position model. The record is from RNAcentral.